UGUUGUCCGACUCUGUUGCCUCCGGGGCGACCCUGCCUUCGGGCGGGGGCUCCGGGUGGACACUUCAAACUCUUGCGUAACUUUGCAGUCUGAGUAAACUUAAUUAAUAAAUUAAAACUUUUAACAACGGAUCUCUUGGUUCUGGCAUCGAUGAAGAACGCAGCGAAAUGCGAUAAGUAAUGUGAAUUGCAGAAUUCAGUGAAUCAUCGAAUCUUUGAACGCACAUUGCGCCCCCUGGUAUUCCGGGGGGCAUGCCUGUUCGAGCGUCAUUUCACCACUCAAGCCUCGCUUGGUAUUGGGCAACGCGGUCCGCCGCGUGCCUCAAAUCGUCCGGCUGGGUCUUCUGUCCCCUAAGCGUUGUGGAAACUAUUCGCUAAAGGGUGUUCGGGAGGCUACGCCGUAAAACAACCCCAUUUCUAAGGUUGACCUCGGAUCAGGUAGGGAUA
This 446-nucleotide ribosomal RNA is filed under the name Davidiellaceae sp. PIMO_62. RNAcentral's name for it is "eukaryotic LSU rRNA". The stretch from base 116 to 269 matches the Rfam family "5.8S ribosomal RNA". Lineage: Eukaryota; Fungi; Ascomycota; Dothideomycetes; Cladosporiales; Cladosporiaceae. The record is from RNAcentral.